This 754-nucleotide ribosomal RNA is filed under the name Leuconostoc lactis. RNAcentral describes it as "bacterial SSU rRNA". It matches the Rfam family "Bacterial small subunit ribosomal RNA", at positions 49 to 785 of the family's 1533-position model. The record is from RNAcentral. Lineage: Bacteria; Bacillati; Bacillota; Bacilli; Lactobacillales; Lactobacillaceae.
UAAUACAUGCAAGUCGAACGCGCAGCGAAAGGUGCUUGCACCUUUCAAGCGAGUGGCGAACGGGUGAGUAACACGUGGAUAACCUGCCUCAAGGCUGGGGAUAACAUUUGGAAACAGAUGCUAAUACCGAAUAAAACUUAGUAUCGCAUGAUACAAAGUUGAAAGGCGCUACGGCGUCACCUAGAGAUGGGUCCGCGGUGCAUUAGUUAGUUGGUGGGGUAAAGGCCUACCAAGACAAUGAUGCAUAGCCGAGUUGAGAGACUGAUCGGCCACAUUGGGACUGAGACACGGCCCAAACUCCUACGGGAGGCUGCAGUAGGGAAUCUUCCACAAUGGGCGAAAGCCUGAUGGAGCAACGCCGCGUGUGUGAUGAAGGCUUUAGGGUCGUAAAGCACUGUUGUAUGGGAAGAAAUGCUAGAAUAGGGAAUGAUUCUAGUUCGACGGUACCAUACCAGAAAGGGACGGCUAAAUACGUGCCAGCAGCCGCGGUAAUACGUAUGUCCCGAGCGUUAUCCGGAUUUAUUGGGCGUAAAGCGAGCGCAGACGGUUGAUUAAGUCUGAUGUGAAAGCCCGGAGCUCAACUCCGGAAUGGCAUUGGAAACUGGUUAACUUGAGUGUUGUAGAGGUAAGUGGAACUCCAUGUGUAGCGGUGGAAUGCGUAGAUAUAUGGAAGAACACCAGUGGCGAAGGCGGCUUACUGGACAACAACUGACGUUGAGGCUCGAAAGUGUGGGUAGCAAACAGGAUUAGAUAC